UGGGGAAUAUUGGACAAUGGGGGAAACCCUGAUCCAGCGACGCCGCGUGUGUGAAGAAGGCCUGCGGGUUGUAAAGCACUUUCGGUGGGAACGAAAUGUGCCGACCUAAUACGUCGGCAAGCUGACGUUACUCAAUGAAGAAGCACCGGCUAACUCUGUGCCAGCAGCCGCGGUAAUACAGAGGGUGCGAGCGUUAAUCGGAAUUACUGGGCGUAAAGCGCACGUAGGCGGCUAUAUAAGUCGGAUGUGAAAUCCCCGGGCUUAACCUGGGAACCGCAUUCGAGACUGCAUAGCUAGAGUACUGGAGAGGACAGCGGAAUUCCCGGUGUAGCGGUGAAAUGCGUAGAUAUCGGGAGGAACAUCAGUGGCGAAGGCGGCUGUCUGGCCAAGUACUGACGCUCAGGUGCGAAAGCGUGGGGAGCAAACAGG
Molecule: ribosomal RNA, 429 nt
Filed under: uncultured Gammaproteobacteria bacterium
Lineage: Bacteria; Pseudomonadati; Pseudomonadota; Gammaproteobacteria
Description: bacterial SSU rRNA
Rfam family: Bacterial small subunit ribosomal RNA
Source: RNAcentral